UUCAAGCAAACAUGAAAUAUAUUAGAUUUUGAAGGCAAACGUUAACACUGCUUCUACACAUUGCCAUUCACAAAGACAAUAUUAACAAUCUUGAAAUUUUUCUCUAUUUUCAGAAGAAUGGGUCGGUCGCCUCGUCAGCUCUAGAUGGAUGACCAAGAAUCGCCAAAACGGUACUGCGGCCUUGAUGCGGGCCUCUGCGGCCAAUAAGGUCUCUUCAAGUUCUCGUCGGUCCGUCCGUCUGGUUUUCGGGUCUUUUUUUUUGUUGUGCUACCUUUUUAGCACCGUAGGACCAACAUCAGCUGAUUGGAGGACGAAAAUGUCCUUUAACUGCGUUGCUACCUAACCUAACCAUGAGCUCAUGUUUGGUUAUAGCCUGUAACCCAAACAACGGCAGUCCAAGGGUCGAACGUCAGUAAAGCAGUUUGGUUUGCUAGUCUGGAGAAACUAAAAAGAGUACCUUAGGAACGCUGGGGAAUGCAACAGCGUCUGGAUCCCUCGCUGGUGGAUGGUGUGCGUUGCGGAUGUGGCGGUGACCAGUGUGGCGGUGACCAGGGUGUCGGUAGCCGAUGUGGCGGUUGUUGAUGCAGCGGUUGGUGAUGGAAGCCUUCUUCUUUGUGCGGCAGUGGAGGUGGAGGAGGCGUGGAUUUUGAUUUUUAUGUUUUUGACUUUUAGUUUUGAAAUGUCCACUUGUUUAUUUUAAUUUUAAUUUCUAUUUCUUUUCAGGUUUUUAAUAUAUUCCUUUUUUCAGGUAUUUAACGUUCAUUUCAUUUCAGAUUUUUGACAAAGUUUUUCUUCUCUUUUUUUUUACGUUACCAUUUCAAUUGGCUCUUUAUGUAUCGUCUCUUCACUUUUCAGGCAUUUCAAAUUUUCUAUUUCCUUUUUUUUUUUUUUUUAAAACUGUCCUUUUUAUUUUGCUUAAAUCCGUUUUUUUCACAUUCAUAUGAAUUUAAAUAAAACACAUUUACCAAAUUUAUUUCUGGUCUUUUCUUUUACGUAUUUUUCUUGUUGAUCACUCCACCUCCGUACGCUGCCAAGUCCCAAUCGAAAAAGAAAGAAGCUUCCUUGGGUCACCGGCCGGCUUGGCUUGGAUUCGCCUCCAUCAUCAAAUUUGACUUCCAGCGGGCACCAACAAAACAUAUGGUGGUAGCCAUAAUUGUCAAUUGGUGUCAGCUGGCUGUCUCUUUCGUUGACAGAGGCGAAUUAAAACCAUCAGAUGGCGCUGGCGGUCUUCUAUCCGCUAACAGAUGUCGCUAGGGUCGCACAUUAGGCCGCACACUACAAACCAAACCAUCCUUUGAACAUCACUGUUAAAGGAUGGGAGGGAGAAAAAUAACAAUUUCUCUCAGUGUAUUCCAUGCCAUAAAGUGUAUAUGCUCCUUACGCCAAACCUAUCUCACUGUGUGUAGGUCCCAUUAAUAA
Long non-coding RNA from Stomoxys calcitrans (stable fly), 1419 nucleotides. RefSeq lists it as uncharacterized. The transcript is spliced from 3 exons. The record is from RefSeq and is a predicted model, not a curated record. Lineage: Eukaryota; Metazoa; Arthropoda; Insecta; Diptera; Muscidae.